CCUACGGGUGGCAGCAGUGAGGAAUAUUGGUCAAUGGGCGCGAGCCUGAACCAGCCAAGUCGCGUGAAGGAUGACUGCCCUACGGGUUGUAACCUUCUUUUAUAGAGGAAUAAAGUGAGGCACGUGUGCCUUUUUGUAUGUACUUUAUGAAUAAGGAUCGGCUAACUCCGUGCCGGCUGCCGCGGUAAUACGGAGGAUCCGAGCGUUGUACGGAUUUAUUGGGUUUAAAGGGAGCGUAGAUGGGUUGUUAAGUCAGUUGUGAAAGUUUGCGGCUCAACCGUAAAAUUGCAAUUGAUACUGGCAGCCUUGAGUACAGUUGAGGUAGGCGGAAUUCGUGGUGUAGCGGUGAAAUGCUUAGAUAUCACGAAGAACUCCGAUGGCGAAGGCAGCUUACUAAACUGCCACUGACAUUGAUGCUCGAAAGUGUGGGUAUCAAACAGGAUUAGAUACCCCGGUAGUC
Molecule: ribosomal RNA, 460 nt
Filed under: uncultured bacterium
Lineage: Bacteria
Description: partial 16S ribosomal RNA
Rfam family: Bacterial small subunit ribosomal RNA
Source: RNAcentral